CCUACGGGAGGCAGCAGUGGGGAAUAUUGCACAAUGGGGGAAACCCUGAUGCAGCGACGCCGCGUGAGUGAAGAAGUAUUUCGGUAUGUACAGCUCUAUCAGCAGGAACGAGACAAGACGGUACCUGACUAAGAAGCCCCGGCUAACUACGUGCCAGCAGCCGCGGUAAUACGUAGGGGGCAAGCGUUAUCCGGAAUCACUGGGUGUAAGGGGAGCGUAGACGGCUGAGCAAGCCUGAAGUGAAAGGCGGGGGCCCAACCCCCGGACUGCUUUGGGAACUGUACGGCUGGAGUGCAGGAGAGGUAAGUGGAAUUCCUAGUGUAGCGGUGAAAUGCGUAGAUAUUAGGAGGAACACCAGUGGCGAAGGCGGCUUACUGGACUGUAACUGACGUUGAGGCUCGAAAGCGUGGGGAGCAAACAGGAUUAGAUACCCGUGUAGUC
This 441-nucleotide ribosomal RNA is filed under the name uncultured bacterium. Its description in RNAcentral is "partial 16S ribosomal RNA". It matches the Rfam family "Bacterial small subunit ribosomal RNA", at positions 338 to 795 of the family's 1533-position model. The record is from RNAcentral.